Molecule: long non-coding RNA, 9508 nt
Filed under: Brassica napus (rape)
Lineage: Eukaryota; Viridiplantae; Streptophyta; Magnoliopsida; Brassicales; Brassicaceae
Description: long non-coding RNA (BNAP_LNC010021)
Source: RNAcentral
CAUUAUCCAAAUAAUUAUUAUAUAAAACAAAUUAUUAACUUAUUUUGAUACAUCCAAGCAGGAGAGGAUUACACCAACAUUUUCAUUGGUUCUACAUCAUCGUCCUCUAUAGCGUCUUUUGCAAGCUGAAAACAAAAUUAAAAUACAACCAUAUUAAUUGUAAAGUAUACUAGUUAUACGUGUUAUAUUUUUACUAAUUAUACUAGUUAUAUUCGUUGUAGUUGGACCAAUUAUACAUUUUAGUUGUACUAGUUAUACUUGCUUUAUUUAUACUAGUUUACUAGAUUUAAUUUGUCGCAGCUGUACAUUUUAAUAUCUUCUAAUCCUCUUCUACUGCAACAUUUUUUUGGCUUUUCUAUUGUGUUCUUUGGCUUUGAGAAUAAAGAUUAUUUUGUAAAAAAAAAUAAUACAACUAGUAAAACAAAUAAUUAUUUACAUCAAAUACUAUAGGAAAAUUCUAGCAAUUCUGAAAAUUCAACAAGUCUCAAAUAUUAAACACAAUAUUAUGAGUUGAUCCAAGAAGAUAGCAUUCAGAGAUAACAAGACAACUGAUCACAUUACAUAAUCUCAGAUGAUCAUUAAUCAAACAUAGAUUUAGCAGAAAAUAGAUAUGCGUAUAAGUUGUUUGAAUAAAGUUGCAAAGUUGUAUUGGUUAUUCACGUUCUAAUUGUACAUGUUAUACUGAUUGUAUUUGUUAUAGUUGUAUUGGUUAUACUAAUCAUAAGCAUUCGAGUUGUACCAGUUAUACUAGUUAUACGCACUCUAGUUGUACAAGUUAUACUCGUUUGAGUUAUACUAGUUACGCCAGUAAUACUCGGUGUUCUUCAUUGUCGUGAUAUCAUACACUGAUGAUGAGAUUCAGCUUAAAAUGGUAGAAAAUUGAUUGAAGAGGAUGAUGAGUUGAUCGAUUUGACCAAAAAUGAUUAUGGUUGAUAGAUUUGUGAUAAGAAUGAUAAAACUCAAAAUCUGAAUUAUUUUUUUAAUUUUAAUUUAAGAUGAGAGAAACAUCAACAAAGAAGGAAAGAAAAAUAAAAAUAUUGAUUAUGGUGCAGCCAUGAGUAGAGAUAUUGGAGAGCUGAGUGAGUCUGACGAGGGAGAGCCAGACUUGAGCAGAGAAGAGCCGGACUUGAGAAGAGAAGAACCAAAUGAGCUAGCCAGCUUGUGGAGUGGACCAGUAACCAGAUCAAGACUGAGAGCACAAGAGAAGAGCCUCCAACACUUAGCCAAAUCCGUGGGGCUUAAAUCAGAAGAGGAGAACCAAGAUAAACCAGCCUGUUGGUAAUUUUAUUUCAGUGUAAUUUGAUUUCAUUUAAAUUAAACCAAUUUCGGGUAGGAUUAGGAUUUAUUAAAAACCAAUUUCGAUGGGGUUUAGAUUAGGAAUUAGAUUAAACCAUCUUGGUUUAUGAUUAGGGUUGCUGGGGGUUUUCUAUUUAUCUUUCAACGCAGACUUUGUGAAAGUCAUUCAACUUUUCAAUCAAAAACUUACAGCAAAGAGUUGUCUCAUUUCCUGCUUUCUCUGUUCAGCUAAAGGAACAUUGAUCUCACCUUAGGGAAGGAAUUCCUUAGUGAAAACCAUCUUAGACAAUACAGGGUAAUCUUGUGUCUUUGAGUAGCAAACCAUCGCUGUCGCCAUUCCAUAGCUUCAGAGAGACGUUCAUAGUCCUGCAGAGUGCUAGUAGCCUCCAAGGACAACCCUCUUUCAUUCCCCUUCAAGUGAUCCCGGAGCAGAAGCCAUACCCAGGCUGUACCAAGUGGUAUCAGAGCCACUUGAAGGUUUAGGGUUUAAUGAUUUUGACCUAGGAGCACGAAUUAUUCAGCAAUCUUCAAUGUAUUCUCAUAAGAAGCAGGGAGAUCAGGCUAUACAACCAGCAACAAGGAAGAGAGUUGCAGCAAACCAGACCUUGAUCUUUAGUGAACAGCAACUGGAUGACCUAGCAGCCGAAAUCUUCAAUCAGAUCAUGAGAGGACGUGGCAGCAAGCAAAGGUGGGAGAGAUCUGACCUAAAAACGUCCAAGGAGAGAAAUUUACUUGCUUUGGAUCAGUUUGGGCGCUGGUCUAGGGUUCCACCAGAGACAAGAGAGAAUAUCCAGCUAGUUCAUGAGCUAUCAACAAGCAAGGUGUGCAAAACAGGAAAACAAACUUUUAAGCCAUGCUCACAAACGGCGGAGAAGGAACCUGAGAAGGUACCUGAGAUUGAAUCAAUCCUAAACAGUCCUUUUCAAGGAGAACAUUCAGUACUUCCACUGAAGCAAGAGGAGCACGUACCAGUAGCCUUGAGUGGUCAUACCCUUGACCUAACCGAGGAUAAAGAGGAAGAAAAACUUGAUGCGGCGCUUGUAGUUCAUAAGGAGUCAUCUGCGACUUUGAUUGAACAAGGUGGAUUCAUUAGAUAUGCUUCUGACUAUUCACUGAUCAGGCCUCUUGUUUGUGUGAAAUUCAGUCUCAUGGACCACUUAAAACUUGUCAAAGAGCUGCACAACUUCAUCUUUGAACCAGGAGAAAAGCUAUAUGAGUUUAAGAGCAACAACAACAUUCUGGUGCAAAGAGCAACAGCAAAUCUGAGUAUGCACGAAACACUCAUCUUCAAUGAGCAGGAUUUGAGGUCAAAUCCUUUUAAAGGAAGAGGGGGGAGUGUAGCUCAAAUCAGCAGCAAAAACAGGAUAAAAGAAAGCAAGUCCGAAUUGCAUCAACUACAUAAAGACUUGCAGCUUUGGCUUCAUAAUCCUAGACCAAGACAAAACGUUAUUCAUGCUGAUAUGAGCUCUAUAGAGAGCUUGUAUCACACACCAUCAAUGUGUGGAAAGACCAGGGAUGGCCCAGGAGAGGCAAGGCACCGUCCUAGACUCAAGAGUGAGUAUGGGGAUCAUUGUACACGACCUCCUGAUCAGGAGAAUCAUGUCAGGUGAUUCACUUUGAUUUUAGAACAAGUUGUGCUGAGAGAUGACCAGAACUUGCUUAUUCUUGGUCAGAUGGGAUUGGUACGACCACCAGAGUGGGGAAGAAGGUUCUUAGUCAGUCAUGAAGAUCCAGCAUUACUUUCUGAGAUGUCUUGUGUGUUACAAAUCUUUACAUCCAGAACAGUGUAUGAGAAGCAUGAUAUGAAUGCGUUUAUCUUAGAAGGUUCGGAUUUGAGGACAAAUCCUUUUAAAGGAGGAGGGGAUGGUGCAGCCAUGAGUAGAGACAUUGGAGAGCUGAGUGAGUCUGACGAGGAAGAGCCAGACUUGAGCAGAGAAGAGAAGAACCAAAUGAGCUAGCCAGCUUGUGGAGUGGACCAGUAACCAGAUCAAGACUGGGAGCACAAGAGAAGAGCCUCCAACACUUAGCCAAAUCUGUGGGGCUUAAAUCAGAAGAGGAGAAACAAGAUAAACCAGCAUGUUGGUAAUUUUAUUUCAGUGUAAUUUGAUUUCAUUUAAAUUAAACCAAUUUCGGGUAGGAUUAGGAUUUAUUAAAAACCAAUUUCGAUGGGGUUUAGAUUAUGAAUUAGAUUAAACCAUCUUGGUUUAUGAUUAGGGUUGCUGGGGGUUUUCUAUUUAUCUUUCAACGCAGACUUUGUGAAAGUCAUUCAACUUUUCAAUCAAAAACUUACAGCAAAGAAUUGUCUCGUUUUCCGCUUUCUCUGUUCAGCUAAAGGAACAUUGAUCUCACCUUAGGGAAGGAAUUCCUUAGUGAAAACCAUCUUAGACAAUACAGGGUAAUCUUGUGUCUUUGAGUAGCAAACCAUCGCUGUCGCCAUUCCAUAGCUUCAGAGAGACGUCCAUAGUCCAGCAGAGUGCUAGUAGCCUCCAAGGACAACCCUCAGAGUGCUAGUAGCCUCCAAGGACAACCCUCUUUCAUUCCCCUUCAAGUGAUCCCGGAGCAGAAGCCAUACCCAGGCUUCACCAGAUUAAGAAAAUGAUGAUUGUUGAUGAAGAAGAUGCAGAUUGAAGAAGAAAAUCGAGAUAAAAAAAAGUUGAGAUGAAAAAUUUGGAAGAAAUUGAACUAUCGAUAGUUUUGGAAAAGGGGAAGAAUAAAAAAUUAGGGAUUUGAGAAAAGAUCCAACCCGGAUCCAGAUGAUGUUAUCUGGGUCAAACUUUAGAUGGUUGAGUUGGUAAUUUUAUGAACUUUGAUAAGGAUAAUGGUCAUUUCUCUACUUUUCCUAUUUUAAAAGAAAAUGAAAAUUAAUUGGAAAAAGAAGUGGUCUAUUUUAGAAUUUUUUGACUCCAUAUGGUCCAUUAGAGCAUUUGUUCCUGGUUUUGUAGAGAAAGAGAGGGAAGAGAGAGAUAGGAAGAGAAAUAUAGAAAAAAAGUUUUUUGGUUAUUUAGCAAAUAUGUGUUGUUUUGUUGUUAAGAAGCAAAUUUCCCACUAAAAAUAAUAUAAAAAAUUUAAAUUUAAAUUUUUUUGCGAGAAUACUAUUUAAAUAUUCAUGACUCAUACAUGUUAUCUCACUAAAAUCUUACAGUUUUUUUAUCUUCUGAUCUUUUGAUCAAAUAUUUUGUCUCUUUGGAGAUUUUACUUUGCUUUUUCUGGCAAAUUUUGAAGGAAACAAUCUAAAGCUUAUCUUGUAACCAAAUCAUACUUACCUUUAUGGACUUUUUAGAAUGGUCAACAAAAAAAUAUAUUUAAUACCCAUUUUUCUUUGUCAGGAUGUGGAAAACUUAGGAAUCGUAUAAAAUAUGUACUUCAUUAUUUUUUGGAUCGGAAGUUCAAAAUCAUCAUGUUAUAUUGUUAAUAUGAUAUAUUUCUAGAGUUUCAGAGAACUCGGCACAAGAGGCUAGUGUUGAUCGACACCUUCACAUAAUCGAUCGACACCCAUCGAAGCCAGCGACUCAUCUUCAGGUUAUCAUUCUGCAUGCGACUAAGGAUCAUAUACCACUUGGACAUAGGGUGAAAUCCAGGACGCCAUAUAUACCCAGACAUCUCAUAAUGCCUAUCAAGGUUGCAGAGCUUGAUGGCAAGAGAGUGAAAAUGGUUCCUGAAGAUGAAUCUUUUGAAUAUGCCUACUACAAGUACAAAUUUGGUAUGUUUUUCGGGGAAACCAGAGUGGCAUAUGUGGAGAUCAAAUAUUUGUGUGAUACAAUUAGAAGUGAAUCAAAGAAGGUCAAGAAGCUGAGGAAAUAACAAGGCCCUAAGAAGUUUGUGGUUCCCUGCUCUUUCGCAGAAAUUGAAUUUCCUAAUGCUCUGUGUGAUACUGGUUCUUCGUCAAUAUCAUUCAUAAAGACGCUUCUGACAUAUUGGGACUUAAGGUAGAAGCUUCCUCAAUGAGCUUUAAUUUUGUGAAACUUUCCAAGUCAGACUCAGCUGGUAUUGUUAGGAAUGUGGAAGUAAUGAUUGGGAAUAAAAUGCUGUGAAAGUCUUUGUUGGCUGCUUGUUCAAGAUGAAGAAGGAGGACAUUGGGAUUUGUUUUAGAGAAAAGUCCCAUUCUUGCCAAGACUAAAUCUGAGUUCUAAAAGUCAAGCUAAAGACUGAAAACAAGAAGUUGAGUGGGGGCAACUCAUUGGUUUUUUCUUAUUUGCAUAUCAGUCUUUAAAAAACGAGUCGAGUACAAGCAUCGAUUAAUAUCUUCCCGGUGUCGGUCGACACCCCCUUUUAUACGAGUAAAGAUCAAAACUUAACUAGGUCGAUGGACACUCUAUCUGUUCAGGUACAUCUCGUGUUUCCCUUGCUUUUAUUUCGAGAUUUAUAUAUUUAUUUUUCCAAUCUUAAACUGCAUAACACUGAAGAGAAUGUUGUUUAAAUCUGAGGGAUGUAGCUAUUGACAUUAUGUUUUAUUUUAUAGUGUUAUUGAGUCGUUUUAUUGAGUCAAAAAUUGAGUUAGUUGAGGAUGAUGAACGUUUUCUUGUGACAAGCCACCUAACCACUCUCUAGCACCAUUCUUUGAGUUACUGUUUCCAAGUUACAUUACAUGGAAACUCCAAAGGGGAUCUAUCUGCCAGUAACAUCCAUGCUCAUUGAUAGUUUCUGAAGGAAACAAAGCUGACCUCCAACAUAAUCUACUCGAUUUGCUUAUCUUGGGGGUUGGUGUACAUUGGAUCAGAUUCCUCGUUCUUUAAGUCUGAGAAGGCAUGUUUGUGUGGUAUGGUUAUCUUCUCUCUUCACUUCAACAUCAAAAACAAAUGAGAAAAGAAAAGAUUGAGAUGAUUUCCUGAGUUGUAAAGGGAUAGUAAAAAAUUUCCAGGACCCCAUUAUUUUACUAAAUGGAAUGAUCACACGAAGAUGGAAGCGAGGGGUAGAAAAUUUAAUGUGAACUCAUUAUUUGCCUAAAUUUUGCAGAGCAUGGGAAAAAAUGAAAAAGAAGAGGAAAUGAUUCAGAGAAGUGAGAAAAGCGAGAGGAAAGGAACCAAAGUAAGAUAGCAUGUGUAAUCAGAAACCUAAGUGGGUAAGAAUCCAUGUGUCCUUUGAUCAAUAUUCCCAAGAAGAGCAUGCACAUUCAUCUCUUAAACGAGACCAGUUAAGGGGUAUGCCAAAUGGAUGGCGUACAUACUCACCAUAAUAUGGAUGUCGUAGUAUCAUGGCAAAAAAAACCUCUACUCAUAUCAGGUUUACGAAAAACAAUUGGUACGAGUCAAGAUACGAGGGUUUGGAGUGAGUCUUGGAUUCCAGACGCAGUGUCUCGACGACCACUUAGACUUGCUGACCACAUUGUAUACAGACUUCCCCAACUUCUUGUUCAGUCUUCUAUUAGGAAUGAUACCAAUGAGUGGGAUAUACAACUUUUACAGGAUUUCUUUCACCUAGAUGAUAUCCCUUUGAUACUUGGACUAAAAAUUUUUCCCUCUCGUGCUCCGGAUGGAUAUGUUUGGAACCACACAAAAUCAGGAGUGUAUUCAGUUAAAACUGGCUAUGACCUACUCCGAUCGACCAAGUUGAGUCUUGCACAGGAAGGGGUUCUAGAACUGAGAAUCACGAGCCUAUAGAGCCAUGUGUGGAAGAUAAAGGCUCCAAGUAAGAUGAAGCAUUUUUUGUGGCAGGUUAUCUCAGGCUGUGUGGCGACGGCAGAGAGGCUCACGUAUAGACCCAUGAGCACCGAUAUGAUUUGUCCUAGAUGUGCUGGCCCAGUAGAGUCGAUUAAUCAUCUUCUUUUUGAAUGCCCCCAAGCUCUUCAGGUUUGGGCUUUAUCGGACUAUAUGUCCCUUCCGGGUUACUUCCCGAGUACAUCCAUAUACCAAAACAUGAACUUUCUGUUUUGGAAGAGAAAAGAGGUGGCUCCUCUGAGACCACAAUUUGAUACCUUCCCAUGUUGGUACAUUUGGAAGGCGAGGAACGACAAACUCUUUAAUGGGAAAGAUGUAUCCCCGAUUGACACUCUCCAACACGCGUCUCUUGAAGCAGAUUGUUGGAGGAAAGCUAACGAAAAGGAGGAAGCAAACGAGGAUCAUGAUGAUCCCCUACUACAGAGGUUGAGACAGUGCCCCCUGGGAUACCCUGAAUUACCUGUAAAAUUGAUGCAUCAUGGAUCAAUAAUGGCAGCGUCAGUGGCUUAGGGGGGAGUAUUAAGGAUCAAAUGGGUUCGAAAUAUUUUGGAUUACGGGCAUGCAAUAGGAGCCUCUCAGCUUUGCAUUCUAAGAUGGAAGGUAUACUUUGAGCAGCUUCAUGUAUGAAAUACAGAAGGAUAACAUCAAUACGGUUCGAGACAGACUGCUCGAACUUAGUGGAAAUGACUACAAACCCGAUGGAGUGACCAUCAUUCACGACAGAGAUCGAGGUGUUCCAGAGAUUACAUGAAGACUUCAAGGAUGUGAGCCUGUCUCAUAUUCCUCAGACUAGAAACGACCGGACAGACGCGUUAGCAAAAGAAGCAAGAAUCAGAAGCUACACUUUUUCCUAUAUAGAUCAGACCUGGACAGAUGGAGAUGCUCAUCGGAGAAUUGGCUCUUCUGUUCUCCACUUGAUAUAGCCUAGAUGGGUAGCUGACAAAAUAAGAGUAUGUCAAAUGGUAUUUAUAGUGAGUUGUGGGCUGGAUUGUCAGGUUGCUAAGCUGAGGUCGAGUACAUGGAAAUAUCGUAUAAAGUUGGUAUUAUUUGAUAUGGCUUGCAACAUUGUAAGAGGUGAUGGUGGUGCUCUAAAUAAAAGGUGAUUCCUUAGGUUUUCAAACCUCUUCUGUACGUUAAUCUUUUUCUUUGCUUGACGGUAAUUGCUGGCGCAAACAUAUCGGUUUCCUUACUCAAAGCAUUUUUUGUAGUUCAAGUAAAUGAUAAGUCCGAGAGAGUUGAUAUACCUUGGGUUUUGUGGAUUUUAACCAUGGUGUAAGUCCCGUUUUAGAAUCUAUAUUAUGAGUUUUGAGUUUGUUUUAGAGUCUUUGAAAGUUCAUGCACGUUUUAGAGCGUUUUGGAGAUUACAUAGCGUUUUGGAGAUUAUGGAGCCAUUUGGUGUAUUAAAAGAAGUGAAGCUAUAAGUAGAAUUCAGAGUCGAUAUUUGGAGAAGGCGUCGAUCAAUACUUGCUCUUGGUGUCAGUCGACACCCAUGUUGUACGAGCAAACCAACAAAAAUUUCAAUAAUUUCACUUUAGUUUAGAAGUUUCCUUAUUUUCAAAGAGACCCCUAAGUGUAUUUUACAUUAUAUUAGUUAUUUAAGCCAAUGUUUAGGCUACGCUUUACUUGAUGCUUAGAAAUACUUCUAAAAAACUUUGGAGCAAAGAUUCAGAAUUCCUUCAGGGAUUGAGCUGGAACUCCAGUACGUCUAUAUUUUAUCUAACUUUGCACUUUAUUAUGUAUUUGAUUAUAUUUUCAUUGAUCAUGUUUGAGUAAAAACGUGUUAGAUUUAGAGUUUUUCUAUGGUUUAUGAAGAACUGUUAAUUGAUAGAAUCUCUAAGGUGGUCUAAGUGAAUUCUUCAUCAGGAUUUCUAUUUAUGCAUGUUUCUAUUAGCUAGAAACAUGAUCUUAGAAUAAUUGGUAGAAACGACAGUGUAAAUAAUUACCUCAAUUGAAUCUUGCUGAUUGAAUUGAAUCUUGCUGAGCUAAAUAUUUAUUUGCAAUGAGAGUUGGUUUAGAAAUUUAGUGAACAUAUAGAAUUCAGAAUUAAUGCUUGUUUGAAUCAUUAAAAUCAAGAAAAGACACAAUAAAACAUAAAACAAGUCACAACCAAAAUGAACCAAUCAACGAAAUCAAUUGACAAACCCGUUUGGUAUCAACGAAAUAUGAACACAAAAUGCAUAUAACAAACCCCAAUCUUUGCUUUUCAGGGAGAUUAAACGCGAGUUAAGAACAUGCAAAUAAGUUUACCUAAUCUAUUUUUCAUAUAGAUUAACUGCGAUUUAAGCACAUGCAAAGAAGACUGCAAAGAAUGAAAACGAAAUUGCAAAGAACAACUAUUCGGUGCAUUUCUAAACUUCUAAUUAGUAGAGAGAACAAGGAUAUUUUCAAGCACGAGAUUGCAAAGAAUGAAACGAAAUAUGAAAGAGAAGUGUCGACUUCACCUUCGAUUUAGAUGGGAGAAGAAGAUAUUUAGGCUGUAGAUGAUUUGUCGGAAUAAAGGUGAUUUAUGCCAGAGAAUAAGAGAUUUCAGUCGGUGUCAAAGUUUUUUUUUAUCACCA